Long non-coding RNA from Thalassophryne amazonica, 242 nucleotides. RefSeq lists it as uncharacterized. Lineage: Eukaryota; Metazoa; Chordata; Actinopteri; Batrachoidiformes; Batrachoididae. The record is from RefSeq and is a predicted model, not a curated record. The transcript has 3 exons.
AGAUUAUCUGUGGUCAUAUUCAUCAGAAGAGAAUUGGGAGCCAUGCGUGCUGUUGUGGUCGCCGCUGUCCUUUUUCUGGUGGUCCUGGUCUUGAUGCCGGAGUCUGAUGCGAGAUGGAGUGGAUAUCGUUGGAAACGUUUCUGUAUGAAAAAAGUUCCAUACAGGAAGUGUAGCAAUGAAUGGCGCAAGCUGGAUCAACAUCGCUGUUUCAAGGUUUUCACUGCCGUGCAUCCUUUCACCAU